AGUGGGGAAUAUUGCGCAAUGGGCGAAAGCCUGACGCAGCGACGCAGCGUGAGGGACGAAGGCCUUCGGGUUGUAAACCUCUUUCAGCGGGGACGAAGCGAAAGUGACGGUACCCGCAGAAGAAGCACCGGCUAACUACGUGCCAGCAGCCGCGGUAAUACGUAGGGUGCAAGCAUUGUCCGGAUUUAUUGGGCGUAAAGAGCUCGUAGGCGGCUUGUCACGUCGGAUGUGAAAACUCGGGGCUCAACCCCGAGCCUGCAUUCGAUACGGGCUAGCUAGAGUGUUGCAGGGGAGACUGGAAUUCCUGGUGUAGCGGUGAAAUGCGCAGAUAUCAGGAGGAACACCGGUGGCGAAGGCGGGUCUCUGGGCAACUACUGACGCUGAGGAGCGAAAGCGUGGGGAGCGAACAGGAUUAGAUACCCUGGUAGUCCACGCCGUAAACGUUGGGCGCUAGGUGUGGGGAACCUUCCACGUUCUCCGUGCCGUAGCUAACGCAUUAAGCGCCCCGCCUGGGGGAGUACGGCCGCAAGGCUAAAACUCAAAGGAAUUGACGGGGGCCCGCACAAGCGGCGGAGCAUGCGGCUUAAUUCGAUGCAACGCGAAGAACCUUACCUAGGCUUGACAUAUACCGAAAACUCAUAGAGAUAUGGGGUCCGCAAGGGCGGUAUACAGGUGGUGCAUGGUUGUCGUCAGCUCGUGUCGUGAGAUGUUGGGUUAAGUCCCGCAACGAGCGCAACCCUCGUCCUAUGUUGCCAGCGGAUAAUGCCGGGGACUCAUAGGAGACUGCCGGGGUCAACUCGGAGGAAGGUGGGGAUGACGUCAAAUCAUCAUGCCCCUUAUGUCUAGGGCUGCACGCAUGCUACAAUGGUCGGUACAAAGGGCUGCGAUACCGCGAGGUGGAGCGAAUCCCAAAAAGCCGGCCUCAGUUCGGAUUGGGGUCUGCAACUCGACCCCAUGAAGUCGGAGUCGCUAGUAAUCGCAGAUCAGCAACGCUGCGGUGAAUACGUUCCCGGGCCUUGUACACACCGCCCGUCACGUCACGAAAGUCGGUAACACCCGAAGCCGGUGGCCUAACCCUUGUGGAAGGAGCCGUCGAAGGUGGGAUCGGCGAUUGGGACG
This 1119-nucleotide ribosomal RNA is filed under the name uncultured bacterium. RNAcentral's name for it is "bacterial SSU rRNA". It matches the Rfam family "Bacterial small subunit ribosomal RNA", at positions 353 to 1482 of the family's 1533-position model. The record is from RNAcentral.